RNAcentral lists this ribosomal RNA (253 nucleotides) under uncultured bacterium. Its description in RNAcentral is "partial 16S ribosomal RNA". It matches the Rfam family "Bacterial small subunit ribosomal RNA", at positions 524 to 776 of the family's 1533-position model. The record is from RNAcentral.
UACGGAGGGUGCAAGCGUUAUCCGGAAUCAUUGGGUUUAAAGGGUCCGCAGGCGGCCUUAUAAGUCAGUGGUGAAAUCCCGUGGCUCAACCACGGAACUGCCAUUGAUACUGCAGGUCUUGAGUACAGUUGAGGCAGGCGGAAUGUGUCAUGUAGCGGUGAAAUGCUUAGAUAUGACCCAGAACACCGAUUGCGUAGGCAGCUUGCUAAACUGUCACUGACGCUGAUGCACGAAAGCGUGGGUAGCGAACAGG